GGCCCCAUAGCUCAGCAGUUAGAAUGCUGGUCUUGUAAGCCAGAGAUUGUGAGUUCAAAUCUCACUGGGGUCU
This is a non-coding RNA of Chiloscyllium plagiosum (whitespotted bambooshark), 73 nucleotides long. The record is from the annotation of a RefSeq genome assembly. Lineage: Eukaryota; Metazoa; Chordata; Chondrichthyes; Orectolobiformes; Hemiscylliidae.